GGCUGUGCCGGGUAGAGAGGGCAGUGGGAGGUAAGAGCUCUUCACCCUUCACCACCUUCUCCACCCAGCA
This 70-nucleotide microRNA precursor is filed under the name Cervus hanglu yarkandensis (Yarkand deer). Its description in RNAcentral is "microRNA 197 (ENSCHYG00000015272.1)". It matches the Rfam family "mir-197 microRNA precursor family". The record is from RNAcentral. Lineage: Eukaryota; Metazoa; Chordata; Mammalia; Artiodactyla; Cervidae.